GAGAGUAUAACUCAGUGGUAGAGCGCAUGCUUAGCAUGCACAAGGUCCUGGGUUCAAUUCCCCAGUACCUCCA
Molecule: transfer RNA, 73 nt
Filed under: Camelus ferus (Wild Bactrian camel)
Lineage: Eukaryota; Metazoa; Chordata; Mammalia; Artiodactyla; Camelidae
Rfam family: tRNA
About the family: Transfer RNA (tRNA) molecules are approximately 80 nucleotides in length. Their secondary structure includes four short double-helical elements and three loops (D, anti-codon, and T loops). Further hydrogen bonds mediate the characteristic L-shaped molecular structure. tRNAs have two regions of fundamental functional importance: the anti-codon, which is responsible for specific mRNA codon recognition, and the 3' end, to which the tRNAs corresponding amino acid is attached (by aminoacyl-tRNA synthetases). tRNAs cope with the degeneracy of the genetic code in two manners: having more than one tRNA (with a specific anti-codon) for a particular amino acid; and 'wobble' base-pairing, i.e. permitting non-standard base-pairing at the 3rd anti-codon position.
Source: Rfam by way of RNAcentral